RNAcentral lists this ribosomal RNA (850 nucleotides) under uncultured bacterium. Its description in RNAcentral is "bacterial SSU rRNA". It matches the Rfam family "Bacterial small subunit ribosomal RNA", at positions 1 to 829 of the family's 1533-position model. The record is from RNAcentral.
GCCNCGUUACGAAUUCGCCCUUGAGGUUUGAUCAUGGGCUCAGGAUGAACGCUAGCGGCAGGCUUAACACAUGCCAAGUCGAGGGGCAGCAUGUCCAGCAAUGGAUGAUGGCGACCGGCGGAAGGGUGCGUAACGCGUGAGCAACAUGCCCUAUACAGGGAGAUACACCAGGGAAACUUGGUCUAACAUCCCAUAGCAUUCAUUGAAGGCAUCUUUAAUGAAUUAAAGCUUCGGUGGUAUAGGAUUGGCUCGCGUGACAUUAGCCAGAUGGUGAGGUAACGGCUCACCAUAGCAAUGAUGUCUAGGGGUUUUGAGAGGAAGGCCCCCCACACUGGGACUGAGACACGGCCCAGACUCCUACGGGAGGCAGCAGUGAGGAAUAUUGGACAAUGGAUGGAAAUCUGAUCCAGCCAUGCCGCGUGCAGGAAGACGGCCUUAUGGGUUGUAAACUGCUUUUAUACGGGAGCAAUAAGGGUUACGAGUAAUCCGAUGAGAGUACUGUAUGAAUAAGGAUCGGCUAACUCCGUGCCAGCAGCCGCGGUAAUACGGAGGAUCCGAGCGUUAUCCGGAAUUAUUGGGUUUAAAGGGUGCGUAGGCGGCCAUUUAAGUCAGCGGUGAAAUUUUGCAGCUUAACUGUAACAGUGCCGUUGAUACUGUUUGGCUAGGAUUUGGUUGUAGUGUGCGGAAUGUGUGGUGUAGCGGUGAAAUGCUUAGAUAUCACACAGAACACCGAUUGCGAAGGCAGCACACUAAGUCAUUAUUGACGCUGAGGCACGAAAGUGUGGGGAUCAAACAGGAUUAGAUACCCUGGUAGUCCACACUGUAAACGAUGAUAACUCGCUGUCGGCGA